CCACCCACCUAUCUCCACGUAAUGGGACUGGUGCGCAUUUCAGCCUAUUAUGUAUUCAUAUCUGUGACUAAAUAUUGGGGAGAUAUUUUUAUUCACUCCUUCAUUCAUCCCCUCCUCCCCCUCCUCCUCUUCUCCCCCUGAAGUGUCGAUGGAAAAGGGAUUUGCCUAGCAUCCUCCGAUUUAGAAUGUUAAGGUCUACGGAACAGAAUAAUCAUAAUCAGUCAGAUUACAUUAUGAUUCAUAAGCAAGAAUUCCCGGCGAAGAACCAUUAUUUAAUUUCAUGACUGAAUUACCAUGUGUUUGUGUCCUUUUAAGAGGUUGCUCUAUUUCAUAUGCUAAGUUGCCACUUCUCUGGCUGUUCUCUUCAGAAACCUGAUGCCUGACCUUCUAUCACACUGUUAUCUGGCUGUGUCAAUUGGUGAAUAAUUAAGUGAUUACCUUGUAAACUGCCGUAAUUAUAAAAACAUCCAACAAAGGAAUCUUAAAGGUGGGGUAGUGUGAGCUGUGGAAGAUGUAAUGAUUCUGUUACAGACAGGAAAUGUAAUUGAUAGACAGAUCUUUACAAACAGAUUAUUUUCAAAGCUGUUUUAAGAAAAUUCUCAGCACCAAUUUAAAGUGAAGAGGGAAUUGUUUUCCAUUAGCUACUUGUUGUUUUAAGUAAUUUACCCUAACCCUAUGUUAUUUCCUCAUAUCCUGUAGCUAUGCAUUGUAACUAAAGAAAUAUCAGUUGAUUAGAAAGGACUACAAAAAAUAUAAAACCACCAACAAUUUGGUUUGUGGUUUGAUAUAUUUUCUCUCUCUCACUCUCUCUUUCUCUCCCACCUCUCUAUUUCUCCCUCUCUCUAUCGCUCUCUCCUCCCCCCAUCUCUCUCUCUUUCUCUCCCACCUCUCUAUUUCUCCCUCUCUCUAUCGCUCUCUCCUCCCCCCAUCUCUCUCUCUCUCUCUCCCCCUCUCUAUACUCUCUCCACUCCACAGUCUCCAAGGUCAGUCCAAGGUUGUGGGGAGGUCGGGGGCCUGCGCCCCUGGGGUAGUGGCCCUGUCUCUGACAACUCAUCUGCUUCAAAGACUGGAACUGCCAGGCCCCAGGUCAGGAGACUGUCUGGGAGUGUAGCCUCAGCCACCUCCAAGGCUCAGCUGUGAGAGAGGAUGGUCCAUGUCUGUGUGCAGUGUCCAUCCUGGUGGCCUGUGGCAUGGGCUCUCUCCCAUGUUCCCCUGGUCAAUGGCUCUCUCUAGCCUGCUACUCAAGCUUCCUCUUCUUCCUUCUGGCUACUGUAAUGCUGACCCCUGACCUUUGACCUCUCAGUGACCCGCACCAUCCUCUGCUCCUCCAAUCCGUCCCAGACUGGAACUGAGCUACCACACUGCUCUGCCACCAACCAUACAAACCCUCACCAAACACACACAGACACAUACUUCUUCUGUCAGUUUGUAUGGCAUUUCUCACUAUCUCACCAGUACUGUAGAACCAGCUGCAGAUGUUAUAAGCCCAGGUUUUCCUUGUUUGCUGCAUCAGUAAGGUCAAAUUUGAAGAGGACACAUGGAGUGGGCGAGUACUUUGAGAGCUGCUGUUUGGUGAUUAGUUCCAUCCUGUCUGGACAGAACAGCACUGCUGAGAGUUCCAGAGCGUUCUGAGAGUUCCAGCUCCAUGGCAACUUGUGUUAAGAAAGAGAAAGCCAGAGGGAAAAAGAGGGAUUGUUUUGGCACUCAACUGAUGAAGGAAAUGGAAGUUGGACCUAUGUCAUAAAGAAAGCCAAAUGCAAGUAGAUCUAUCUAUGCAACACGUCCCAGGUUGGAAACAGCUGAACAGUGUUGUGUAGUAAGAGAUUGAUGAUGACUGUUGACUUAAAUUCAACAUCUAUCUACUAUUUCCUUUUUAAUUUUUUAUUCCUAAGACAUAAAGGCAGGGUACGACUACGGGGGAAGGUUUUACACUUUAAAAAUGUGUGCCUUGCUGUUGUUAUUUCUUAUACCUUUUUUGUUGAAACACUGCUACCCCAGUUAGGUGUUCAAAAGAUGUAGAGAAGGAAAACAACAGCAAGGUUGAAACAGGCAUCCGCCUAUAUGUAUACGUUGUCCAACCUUGACGUGUCAUGAUGGUGUACAUGCUUGGUGUUUAGUGUAAAAGUGUUCUGUGAUGUGGAAUACUAUCAGCGUUAAAGUGCUAGACUGCAUGGUUAACAAUACAUAUACAGACAUGUUGAGAAAUAAACUUCAUCUAUUGGAAACCAUUUGAUUACAUGCAUUUUCUGUAUGCAAUUCACCUGAAACAAUGUACAAACAUCCUUCAUUGUUGAUCAUUUCUUUUCUCAACACUAUAAAUCAAAAAUGCACAAGUGGAACAUUAAAUGGGAGAUGCGUCUGGGAGGCCAUGAUUGGGGAUCCGAGGAGUUAGUACUAGGAAAAACAGCUGAUUUACCAGACUGAUUGGGGAUCCGAGGAGCUAGUACUAGGAAAAACAGCUGAUUUACCAGACUGAUUGGGGAUCCGAGGAGUUAGUACUAGGAAAAACAGCUGAUUUACCAGACUGAUUGGGGAUCCGAGGAGUUAGUACUGGGAAAAACAGCUGAUUUACCAGACUGAUUGGGGAUCCGAGGAGUUAGUACUGGGAAAAACAGCUGAUUUACCAGACUGAUUGGGGAUCCGAGGAGUUAGUACUGGGAAAAACAGCUGAUUUACCAGACUGAUUGGGGAUCCGAGGAGUUAGUACUAGGAAAAACAGCUGAUUUACCAGACUGAUUGGGGAUCCGAGAAAUUAGUACUAGGAAAAACAGCUGAUUUACCAGACUGAUUGGGGAUCUGAGGAGUUAGUACUAGGAAAAACAGCUGAUUUACAAGACUGAUUGGGGAUCUGAGGAGUUAGUACUAGGAAAAACAGCUGAUUUACCAGACUGAUUGGGGAUCCGAGCAGUUAGUACUAGGAAAAACAGCUGAUUUACAAGACUGAUUGGGGAUCCGAGGAGUUAGUACUGGGAAAAACAACUGAUUUACCAGACUGAUUGAGAUUAUAUGAAAACAUAUGUUUAGGGAAGU
This is a long non-coding RNA of Oncorhynchus mykiss (rainbow trout), 3030 nucleotides long. NCBI's taxonomy places the organism in Eukaryota, Metazoa, Chordata, Actinopteri, Salmoniformes, Salmonidae. The record is from Ensembl.